RNAcentral lists this ribosomal RNA (486 nucleotides) under uncultured bacterium. Its description in RNAcentral is "partial 16S ribosomal RNA". It matches the Rfam family "Bacterial small subunit ribosomal RNA", at positions 30 to 507 of the family's 1533-position model. The record is from RNAcentral.
AUUGAACGCUGGCGGCAUGCCUUACACAUGCAAGUCGAACGGCAGCACGGGUGCUUGCACCUGGUGGCGAGUGGCGAACGGGUGAGUAAUACAUCGGAACAUGUCCUGUAGUGGGGGAUAGCCCGGCGAGAGCCGGAUUAAUACCGCAUACGAUCUACGGAUGAAAGCGGGGGACCUUCGGGCCUCGCGCUAUAGGGUUGGCCGAUGGCUGAUUAGCUAGUUGGUGGGGUAAAGGCCUACCAAGGCGACGAUCAGUAGCUGGUCUGAGAGGACGACCACCCACACUGGGACUGAGACACGGCCCAGACGCCUACGGGAGGCAGCAGUGGGGAAUUUUGGACAAUGGGCGAAAGCCUGAUCCAGCAAUGCCGCGUGUGUGAAGAAGGCCUUCGGGUUGUAAAGCACUUUUGUCCGGAAAGAAAUCCUUGGCCCUAAUACGGUCGGGGGAUGACGGUACCGGAAGAAUAAGCACCGGCUAACUACGUG